This 738-nucleotide ribosomal RNA is filed under the name uncultured fungus. RNAcentral describes it as "eukaryotic LSU rRNA". The stretch from base 288 to 441 matches the Rfam family "5.8S ribosomal RNA". The record is from RNAcentral. Lineage: Eukaryota; Fungi.
UUCUUGGUCAUUUAGAGGAAGUAAAAGUCGUAACAAGGUUUCCGUAAGUGAACCUGCGGAAGGAUCAUUAUAGAAAAUGAAAAUCUCGAAGAGCUGGGGGGGGGGAGAGCCUGCGCUUAAUUGCGCGGCUUGAUUUACCCUCCGCCUUUGAUACACACAGUGGAGUUUCUACUUUUUUGUUCUCUUUGGGGAAGUGCUUUUAAAGGCGUCUGUCCCCAGAGGUAAACACAAACAACAUUUUUAUGAAAUUAUAAAAAGUCAAAAACGAAUUAAAACAAAAUAUUCAAAACUUUCAACAACGGAUCUCUUGGUUCUCGCAUCGAUGAAGAACGCAGCGAACUGCGAUACGUAAUGUGAAUUGCAGAAUUCCGUGAAUCAUCGAAUCUUUGAACGCACAUUGCGCCCCUUGGUAUUCCAGGGGGCAUGCCUGUUUGAGCGUCAUUUCCCUCUCAAACAUAGCUUUUAUGUUUAUGUUUGGUAGUGAGCGAUACUCUUUUUGAGUUUGCUUGAAAGUGGGAGGCCAUAGGCGGAGCUUAGUUUGCGACUGUGCCGAGAGGCAUGGGAGCGGCCUAGCCACGAAAAGUCGUAUUAGGUUUUACCGACUCGGCGGAAUAGUGGAGAGGUUUCUUUUUUUUUUUAUUCUAAGGUAAGCCGUCUGGCUAGACAAAAUUCUCAAAGUUUGACCUCAAAUCAGGUAGGAUUACCCGCUGAACUUAAGCAUAUCAAUAAGCGGAGGAA